UGGGGAAUAUUGCGCAAUGGACGAAAGUCUGACGCAGCGACGCCGCGUGUGGGAUGACGGUCUUCGGAUUGUAAACCACUGUCGGGAGGGACGAAUACGCCGCAAGGCGGGUGACGGUACCUCCAAAGGAAGCACCGGCUAACUCCGUGCCAGCAGCCGCGGUAAUACGGAGGGUGCGAGCGUUGUCCGGAAUCACUGGGCGUAAAGGGCGCGUAGGCGGCCUGAUAAGUAGGGGGUGAAAUCCUGCGGCUUAACCGCAGGGCUGCCUUCUAAACUGUCAGGCUGGAGCACAGUAGAGGCAGGUGGAAUUCCCGGUGUAGCGGUGGAAUGCGUAGAGAUCGGGAAGAACAUCAGUGGCGAAGGCGGCCUGCUGGGCUGUUGCUGACGCUGAGGCGCGACAGCGUGGGGAGCAAACAG
RNAcentral lists this ribosomal RNA (417 nucleotides) under uncultured bacterium. RNAcentral describes it as "bacterial SSU rRNA". It matches the Rfam family "Bacterial small subunit ribosomal RNA", at positions 355 to 775 of the family's 1533-position model. The record is from RNAcentral.